This 5129-nucleotide long non-coding RNA is filed under the name Nicotiana benthamiana. Its description in RNAcentral is "long non-coding RNA (NBEN_LNC031255)". The record is from RNAcentral. Lineage: Eukaryota; Viridiplantae; Streptophyta; Magnoliopsida; Solanales; Solanaceae.
CUCCCACCAGCUUAGCAAACUUGGGUGAAUGUUGGAUACCAUACCGAAUCUGGGGACCUCGUGCAUUAUUUUCCUGCAAAACAAAGUGUUAGGACCUUACCCCACCAGACUUUACUAUUUAAAUUAAUAAUUAGAAAAAUGCAUUUAGUUCUCCAAAUAAAUGCACAUACGUUGGGGUGUCUAUUUGGGUUUCGAGGAAACCCGGUGGACUUUGGUUUAGGCUAUCUUAAGGAGUCAUUAUGUCAACAACAUAACUAACUCGGCUACGGUUGACCAUGAUGCAUGAACGGUUAAAUGAAAUAAUGUUUCUACUUUUGAAGUGCUAGGCAAGGUACCAUUGAGUGGAAAACUCAAGAGGGAAAGGCGUGAAACCGUCGACAACAUUGUUGAUCGACUGGUUUUACCGCAAAUAUGCUUUUUGCCACAUUUAGGGGGUUAUAAUAUUGGAAGGGCGCAACCACCCAUUAUAAGCGUUGCUAUGUGAUUUGUUUUGGCAUGAGUGGAAUAUGAUAUCGAGAAAUGCAAUUACAAUAAUGAAGCAAAUUGCAUGUAUUUUCACGUUCAUAAAGAUUACAAUGAAUGCUUGAAAAUUACAACAGUAUUGCAAUAAUAAAAAAAAGAGGAAAUUAAAAGGAAAGAAAAACAUGAAGAGCCAAUUUAGUUUCAUAAUAGAGGAAAUAAAGACAGUAAGUAAAUGCAAUUAAAGAUAUAAUAUAGUCACAAGUAGCAUGUAAUGGUAAAAGCCUAAAGAAAUUCCCCAGCAGAGUCGCCAUGCUGUCGACACCCCCUUUUUCUAAGGAGAAAUCGGAUUUACGAAAGUAUGGGUGGAAUGACUCUUUUUCCUUUUGAGGAAGCGGUCUUGGAGUGUUCAAAGAGUCUCCACAUAAUGAUUAUAGUGCAUUAGGACUCUUAAAGAAGAGAAUAAGGAUUUUUGAAAGAAAACCAGAGUUCGGGUAAGAGCUUGAGAUUAUCUCGAGGGAAAGGUGUUAGGCACCCCUCAUGAUCCACUAGUGUUGUUCCCAGCCAUGCUUAGUUGUGACUUUUGAAAGAGGUAGAAAUAAGUAAAUUUUCACAUAGGAAACAUGAACAAGUUGAGAAUUUUUUUUAGGAAGAAGACAUAAGUGAUUUUUUUUUUAAAAAAGAAAAGCUUGAUGAAAAGUGUUAAUUUAAGAAAAACAAAUAAAAGAGAUAAAGGGUCCUAGGGUUAAAUACAAUAUGGAUCACUUCGGUGCAAUAUCCAGCAAUCAUUCUCACACAAGAUAUUAGCGCACCGGUCAUCAUAUCCAUAUUUUACCCUCCCACCCCGUAGAGGUUAUUUUAAGCGCGUGUAUUGUCACGAAUGCUUAGCGCGUGUAUUGUCACGAAUGCUUAGCGCGUGCUAUUACCCGUCCCGUCUUAUAGGUCCUAGAGGGUGUUUAGGACCACUAUUCCUACAGGGGGUUUCUAGGUUGAACCCUUAAGUUUAAAAGGCAAAAUAUUAAGCGACAUACAAAACAAGUAGGACUUCAUAUUAGGGAUACAUAAAGGCAUAUAAGAGAGCUCAAAUAUCCCUCCACGGAUAAACACAUAAUUAUCACGUCUCAAUCACAUUUAAAGUCUAGGGAGGGGAGAAUUUUAAAAGCUGGAGUGUCGAAAAUAGGUUUAAAACAGAUGCUGAAAAGUUUUAAACAUAAUUUGCAGGAAAGAGUUGGAUGAAGACUUUCCGAACUUGAGAAAAGGGCAGUAGAUAUGUAACAGCUUAAGAAUCAGAAGAAAAAUAUUUUUUUACACACUUGAGAAUAUAUAGUAAAGAUAUUAAAGGAACAAUAUUCUGCUGAAGGAAGAAAAAUAGCACAGUUUCGGACAUGAGAAGUAGAAAAAUAUCUAGCACAGAUGUAAAAUUAUUCGAAAUUGCAGAGGUAUAAAAGAAAGAUGGUGGUAAAUAUAUUAGCUUGGAACUAUAGUUUUACAAAAUCACAGAAGAUAUAGUAUUCAGACAAGUUUUUAGAGAAUAAUAAUCCAGUUCUGGACUGGAAAGGUAAUUUAGUGGAAAACGUAUUUUUGCAUAGAUGUGAUAAAAAAUAGGACAAAAGUUUAGUAGGAAAAACCAGGCGGGCCUCAGAUAGGCAAAACAAAUUUGGACAGUUUAGAGAGGUGGAAUAACUCAAGCAUGAUUUAAGACAGUUAGUCAAUUUUAUCCAGCCUAAGGUUUGCCUAAGCGUUGAAGGUAGUAGGCAUGCAUGUUUGUUUCUAGUUUUACAGUUAACUAGGCUGGUGUUAUUAGAUAUAAUACACUAACGAAGAAUUUCAACAAUUGCAAAUAAACCCUAAGUACAUGGUAUCUAAUGCAUAUAAGAAUCCUAAAGCAUGGUAUCUAGUUGUAGUAACUUGUUAAUUAUUAGUUCUUUGUGAUCAUAAAAUAACAAGUUGAAAGUAAAGAGACCUAGGAGUAGGAUUUCUAUAUGUGAGAUGCAUGUCCUAUACAUGAUUUCUAUAGCACAAAUAGAUAAGUAAAAUUCUAUAGUCAUAUUUUCUACCCAUACUCUUAGUAAUCAUGCAUAACCCUUCCCAAUUUCACUAUAAUCCCCAUAGUUCUUUAUAACAUAUUACAAAUUAGGUAAUUAAAUUACAGUAAUCAAGAAUAAAAUAAGAAGCUAUUCUAUAGGGAGCCUUCAACCAGGCCCAGACCUCCAACCUCACUUCUUUCGAGCUUCACAGCCUUCAUCAAGAGUUUGGGUGCGGCAAAGUUCCCUAGGGGUCUCUUGAGACCCCGGCCAAUAUUAGGAACCCAAAACAAAUCACCAUUGAUAAGUGCAAGUGUGGAAGUGCCAACCUUGUGCAUCAAAGUUCAGUGGGUACUCAAGGUACGGGGGUCGGACCUAAUUCUAAGAGUAGUGUGAUUGUGAAGGAUUUUGAAGAAGUUGAGUUGGAAAAGAAAGUUCUACAUGCAGGAUAGUUUAAGAAAAAUAGUAGAGGAGUGAAAAUUUGAGUACCUAAGGCAACGCUUACACAAGGGGACAUGACCUAAUUCUAAGAGUAGUAUGAUUGUGAUGGAGUUUGAAGGAGUUGAGUUAGAAACAGUUGAAAGACAGUUUGAGAAAAACAAUUAUAGGAGAGUGAAAGAGUCCGUUUGAAAUCAAUUUAGGCAGACCAGUUUUGAAAACAAAAGAGUCAUACAAACAAGGGCAAGGGAAAAUGGCACAAAUAGUUCACAAGCAAGGAAACCAUUCACACAUGUAUAAUACAUUAAAGAGAAGCAAUCAAGCAUACUUCAAAGAAGGAGUUUAAUUCUUACUACACCAAACUCCAAACAUGGUCAACCUCAGGAAGAGGUUCCAAGGCUAUUGAGUAGCCAGGCAGGACCUGAACACAUGUUAGUAGUGCACAGGAGCGAUGAAAAAACAUGCAUUGGGAUAGGAGAAGGGGCAGUGACAUGCCAAGUCAGGCUAGGCAUAUUAAUUAUCAUAAGUAUAUGCUAGUGGCAAUAAGAACAACAGAACCAUAAGUAAGAACACACAAGAAACAUGAGGAAGUGCAGUAUUAAUGGAAGCAUAUUAUUUUUGAGGCUAUAACUUAAAUGGUAUACAUACCAGUUGGAAAAUAAUAUAAACACAGGGCAGUAAUGAGCAAGGAAGUGAGCAAUAAUAUGCAGAGAAAAGCAGAGAGCAGAGAAGCAGUAUGCAGGAAGUGAGCAUCAGUAUACACGAAGAGAGCAGCAGGCAGACCCAAAGCAAAACAACACAGUAGAAACCAACAAAGUGAAAGUGACCAAGAUUACUCAACAUUGGCUUGAAGCCAGCUGAGUGAUUAGCAUUCAACAGGAAAAGUGAGAGGAUAUUGUGUAGAAACAAAUAGCACAGAGAUGUUUGUGUGAAAAGAGAGAGAGUUCAGAACAUUGAGUGUGAGUGAUAUGCAAUGUGUUUGUUGGUUUCUUGCAAAGAUAAUGUGGGGGUACUUAGUACUGAAAAAGAGUAAGCAAACAAGGUAUCAGUCCCUUAAUUAAGGGACUGGUAUCAAUCACAAUCCAGUCAGUAGUUGGACUGCCCUUUAAUUAAGGGAUCCCAAAUCAAAUGGUAAUAAUUAGUCAUUCAAAAGGAAAUAAAUUACAAAGUAAGGUAUAAUCACAUAAGGAAAUAGGGUAGCAUAGAGCAUGCAGUAAAGACUAGACACAUGACCAUCCAAUUAAGGAAAUAGGUCAGGCAAAUCAAUCAAAAGUUUGUAUACAUAUAUAAGGAAAAAUAUCUCCGUAAUUUUGGAAAAUAAUUUUCAAAUAAUGACCGAGAUUAAAACCCUAAGAAAUCAAAAUUAACCACGGAAAGUAUCCCACAAAUUAAGGAAUAAAUUCAAAUUAUAGGAAAAAUACACGAAAUCACAAUUUUAAAGCAAGUAUCACAGUCUCAAAGAGGAUUCAAGGAAUCAGUAUAAAAGAACCAUGCAAGCAAUAAUAGAAGCUCUAAGUAAAGAACACAGAAGGAACGACACACUAACAAAAGGAGCAUAGAACUCGGAGAAGGAUUCAGAAGAACACAAAACAAGCAAAUAAUGCAAACACGAACAACCAAAAUUAGGGUUUCGUCAGACUUAAGCAAAACAUUUAGAAAAUAGUACUAAGAAUCACGAAUUAGUACUCAAAAUCAAAAAAUAAAGUGAUUUCGAAAAGGGGUCAGAAAUCCUAGUUUCAAAAAGGAACAGAAAUCAUUUAAAACUGCAAUAAUCGUAAAGAUCAAGUAAAAAUAGUGCAAAACAUGAAGGUGUGAGUUAAAAUUGUUAAGGAAAUUAGAGAUUUGAGAGGUUUUGUUUACGAUUAGGGUUUCAUAAGAAACCAGUGAGAGGGGUAAGAGAAACCUGGCCGUGAAGCUCAAAGAUAAUGGUGUUUUUAGCAUCAUCGAACCAAAAUCCAUUAGAGAAAGGCCGAAAUCGGACCCAUGUUAGGCUUUAGUGACCAUUUUCAUGGUGGAGGCGUCUGGGGUUUCAAACUUUGGAAGGAAGUAGCGAUAUAGGAUCCCAUGGUGGCUAGAGGUCGAGAGAAGUCAGGACAGAGCAUGGCCAGAGAGGCGAUGAAGUUCGUCGGAGAAGAAGGAAGGAACCAUAAGGUUCUAGAGAGAAGGGAGAGGAAUCAUUAAAGAGAGUGUGAGAUAGCUAGAGACCGG